This 82-nucleotide transfer RNA is filed under the name Propionibacterium ruminifibrarum. RNAcentral's name for it is "Propionibacterium sp. JV5 tRNA-Thr(ggt)". Lineage: Bacteria; Bacillati; Actinomycetota; Actinomycetes; Propionibacteriales; Propionibacteriaceae. The record is from RNAcentral.
CUGCCCGUAGGCGAAGCCGUCGACGCCGGUGCCGGUGAAGUUGAGCUCGAUGGGCUCGUCCAGUUCGAGACCGGCGGGCACC